UCCUACGGGAGGCAGCAGUGGGGAAUAUUGCACAAUGGGCGCAAGCCUGAUGCAGCAACGCCGCGUGAGGGACGAAGGCCUUCGGGUUGUAAACCUCUUUUAGUAGGGAAGAAGCGACUGGGUUUUCCUGGGAGUGACGGUACCUGCAGAAAAAGCACCGGCUAACUACGUGCCAGCAGCCGCGGUAAUACGUAGGGUGCAAGCGUUGUCCGGAAUUAUUGGGCGUAAAGAGCUCGUAGGCGGUUUGUCGCGUCUGCUGUGAAAACCCGAGGCUCAACCUCGGGCCUGCAGUGGGUACGGGCAGACUAGAGUGCGGUAGGGGAGAUUGGAAUUCCUGGUGUAGCGGUGGAAUGCGCAGAUAUCAGGAGGAACACCAAUGGCGAAGGCAGAUCUCUGGGCCGUAACUGACGCUGAGGAGCGAAAGCAUGGGGAGCGAACAGGAUUAGAUACCCUGGUAGUCCAUGCCGUAAACGUUGGGAACUAGAUGUGGGGACCAUUCCACGGUCUCCGUGUCGCAGCUAACGCAUUAAGUUCCCCGCCUGGGGAGUACGGCCGCAAGGCUAAAACUCAAAGGAAUUGACGGGGGCCCGCACAAGCGGCGGAGCAUGCGGAUUAAUUCGAUGCAACGCGAAGAACCUUACCAAGGCUUGACAUAUACCGGAAACGGCUGGAAACAGUCGCCCCGCAAGGUCGGUAUACAGGUGGUGCAUGGUUGUCGUCAGCUCGUGUCGUGAGAUGUUGGGUUAAGACCCGCAACGAGCGCAACCCUCGUCCUAUGUUGCCAGCACGUAAUGGUGGGAACUCAUGGGAUACUGCCGGGGUCAACUCGGAGGAAGGUGGGGAUGACGUCAAAUCAUCAUGCCCCUUAUGUCUUGGGCUUCACGCAUGCUACAAUGGCCGGUACAAAGGGCUGCGAUACCGCAAGGUGGAGCGAAUCCCAAAAAGCCGGUCUCAGUUCGGAUUGAGGUCUGCAACUCGACCUCAUGAAGUCGGAGUCGCUAGUAAUCGCAGAUCAGCAACGCUGCGGUGAAUACGUCCCCGGGCCUUGUACACACCGCC
This 1059-nucleotide ribosomal RNA is filed under the name uncultured Cryobacterium sp. RNAcentral's name for it is "bacterial SSU rRNA". It matches the Rfam family "Bacterial small subunit ribosomal RNA", at positions 337 to 1394 of the family's 1533-position model. The record is from RNAcentral. Lineage: Bacteria; Bacillati; Actinomycetota; Actinomycetes; Micrococcales; Microbacteriaceae.